CCCCUCUGAGGGUCGCACCUGGAGAGCUUCCAGUACUCUACCAGUCACGACUACAGGAGGAAAAGUCAAGUAGAGGCCUAUCCAUUCCAUUCCUAGCUUGGGCAGGGGCUAGUAAGUGGAAGGCAAUCUGCUCCAAGU
RNAcentral lists this small nucleolar RNA (138 nucleotides) under Ornithorhynchus anatinus (platypus). Lineage: Eukaryota; Metazoa; Chordata; Mammalia; Monotremata; Ornithorhynchidae. The record is from RNAcentral.